This 577-nucleotide ribosomal RNA is filed under the name uncultured bacterium. Its description in RNAcentral is "bacterial SSU rRNA". It matches the Rfam family "Bacterial small subunit ribosomal RNA", at positions 623 to 1212 of the family's 1533-position model. The record is from RNAcentral.
CCGUUCAAUACUGCGGAGCUCGAGGGCAGAAGAGGGGGGUGGAAUUGCUGGUGUAGUGGUGAAAUGCGUAGAUAUCAGCAGGAACACCUGUGGCGAAAGCGGCCCCGUGGUCUGCUCCUGACACUCAGACGCGAAAGCUAGGGGAGUGAACGGGAUUAGAAACCCCGGUAAUCCUAGCCGUAAACGAUGGAUGCUAGGUGUGGGUGGUAUUGACCCCAUCCGUGCCGAAGCCAACGCGUUAAGCAUCCCGCCUGGGGACUACGGCCGCAAGGUUAAAACUCAAAGGAAUUGACGGGGACCCGCACAAGCAGCGGAGCGUGUGGUUUAAUUCGAUGCUACACGAAGAACCUUACCCAGGUUUGACAUGCAGGUAGUAGUGAAGCGAAAGCGGAACGAUCCUUCGGGAAGCCUGCACAGGUGCUGCAUGGCUGUCGUCAGCUCGUGCCGUGAGGUGUUUGGUUAAGUCCACUAACGAGCGCAACCCCUGUCGUCAGUUACAUGUGUCUGGCGAGACUGCCGGUCUUAAACCGGAGGAAGGUGGGGAUGACGUCAAGUCAGCAUGGCCUUUAUAUCUGGG